Molecule: ribosomal RNA, 473 nt
Filed under: uncultured bacterium
Lineage: Bacteria
Description: partial 16S ribosomal RNA
Rfam family: Bacterial small subunit ribosomal RNA
Source: RNAcentral
AACGAACGUUGGCGGCGUGGCUUAGGCAUGCAAGUCGUACGAGUUUCAUCUGGGUAUCUGGAUGAAAAAAGUGGCGAAAGGGGCAGUAAGGCAUGGAUAAUCUACGCUGAUGACCGGGAUAGCUGUCCCAACGGGCAGGUAAUAACGGAUAAGCUUGUGGGGCCGCAUGGUUCUGCCAGGAAAGGCGCAAGCCGUGUCGGGAGGAAUCCAGGUGAUAUUAGCUAGUUGGUGAGUUAAAGGCUCACCAAGGCGAAGAUGUCUAGCGGCUGUGAGAGCACGACGAGAGCCAUUGGCACUGAGACACUGGCCAGAGUACGACGGGAGGCUGCAGUCGAGGAUCUUCGGCAAUGGGAGAAAGCCUGACCGAGCGAGGCCGCGUGAGCGAUGAAGGCCAUUAGGUUGUAAAGCUCUGUCGAGGGGGAACAAGCCGCAAGGUUGAGUGAUCCCUGGAGGAAGCACGGGCUAAGUUCGUG